GGGAGUACGGCUCAGUGGUGGAGUGUGUGCUUAGAGUGCUCGAGGCCUGGGUUCGAUCCCCAGUACCUCCC
RNAcentral lists this transfer RNA (71 nucleotides) under Camelus bactrianus (Bactrian camel). It matches the Rfam family "tRNA". Rfam says of the family: Transfer RNA (tRNA) molecules are approximately 80 nucleotides in length. Their secondary structure includes four short double-helical elements and three loops (D, anti-codon, and T loops). RNAcentral also lists the same sequence under 2 other names. The record is from Rfam by way of RNAcentral. Lineage: Eukaryota; Metazoa; Chordata; Mammalia; Artiodactyla; Camelidae.